CCUCUACUGACUUCAGUAAGCCCCG
This 25-nucleotide non-coding RNA is filed under the name Drosophila melanogaster (fruit fly). The record is from RNAcentral. Lineage: Eukaryota; Metazoa; Arthropoda; Insecta; Diptera; Drosophilidae.